RNAcentral lists this ribosomal RNA (447 nucleotides) under uncultured bacterium. RNAcentral's name for it is "bacterial SSU rRNA". It matches the Rfam family "Bacterial small subunit ribosomal RNA", at positions 331 to 795 of the family's 1533-position model. The record is from RNAcentral.
CCAGACUCCUACGGGAGGCAGCAGUGGGGAAUAUUGCACAAUGGGGGGAACCCUGAUGCAGCGACGCCGCGUGGGUGAAGGAGCACCUCGGUGCGUAAAGCCCUAUCGGCAGGGAAGAAACAGACGGUACCUGACUAAGAAGCCCCGGCUAACUACGUGCCAGCAGCCGCGGUAAUACGUAGGGGGCAAGCGUUAUCCGGAUGCACUGGGGGUAAAGGGAGCGUAGACGGCGGCGCAGGUCUGGAGUGAAAGCCCGGGGCCCAACCCCGGGACUGCUCUGGAAACUGCGUCGCUGGAGUACGGGAGGGGCAGGCGGAAUUCCCGGUGUAGCGGUGAAAUGCGUAGAUAUCAGGAGGAACACCAGUUGCGAAGGCGGCUCUCUGGACUGUAACUGACACUGAGGCACGAAAGCGUGGGGAGCAAACAGGAUUAGAUACCCUCGUACUU